Molecule: ribosomal RNA, 409 nt
Filed under: bacterium
Lineage: Bacteria
Also listed under: 1 other name
Description: partial 16S ribosomal RNA
Rfam family: Bacterial small subunit ribosomal RNA
Source: RNAcentral
UGGGGAAUAUUGCACAAUGGGCGAAAGCCUGAUGCAGCGACGCCGCGUGAGGGAUGACGGCCUUCGGGUUGUAAACCUCUUUCAGCAGGGACGAAGCGCAAGUGACGGUACCUGCAGAAGAAGCACCGGCUAACUACGUGCCAGCAGCCGCGGUAAUACGUAGGGUGCAAGCGUUGUCCGGAAUUACUGGGCGUAAAGAGUUCGUAGGCGGUUUGUCGCGUCGUUUGUGAGAACCAGCAGCUCAACUGCUGGCUUGCAGGCGAUACGGGCAGACUUGAGUACUGCAGGGGAGACUGGAAUUCCUGGUGUAGCGGUGAAAUGCGCAGAUAUCAGGAGGAACACCGGUGGCGAAGGCGGGUCUCUGGGCAGUAACUGACGCUGAGGAACGAAAGCGUGGGUAGCGAACAGG